RNAcentral lists this ribosomal RNA (427 nucleotides) under uncultured bacterium. RNAcentral's name for it is "partial 16S ribosomal RNA". It matches the Rfam family "Bacterial small subunit ribosomal RNA", at positions 354 to 796 of the family's 1533-position model. The record is from RNAcentral.
GUGGGGAAUAUUGGGCAAUGGGGGCAACCCUGACCCAGCGACGCCGCGUGAGGGAAGAAGGCCUUAGGGUCGUAAACCUCUGUUGUGUGGGAAGAAGAGCGUGACGGUACCACACGAGGAAGUCCCGGCUAACUACGUGCCAGCAGCCGCGGUAAUACGUAGGGGACGAGCGUUGUCCGGAUUUACUGGGCGUAAAGGGCGCGUAGGCGGUCAUUUAAGUCAGCUGUGAAAUGGUUUGGCUUAACCGGAUCAUGCGGUUGAAACUGGAUGACUGGAGUGCUGGAGAGGCAAGUGGAAUUCCCAGUGUAGCGGUGAAAUGCGUAGAUAUUGGGAAGAACACCGGUGGCGAAGGCGACUUGCUGGCCAGCAACUGACGCUGAGGCGCGAAAGCCAGGGGAGCAAACGGGAUUAGAUACCCUAGUAGUCC